AGGAGGGCGCCGAAGGUGGGGCUAGUGACUGGGGUGAAGUCGUAACAAGGUAGCCGUACCGGAAGGUGUGGCUGGAUCACCUCCUUUUAGGGAGACCUACUUACUAGAUGAAGGACUCACGACAUUUUCCUUCCUAGCUAAGUCAUCCCAAGGUCGGUCAAGGCUUCUUUAGCACUCUCUCAAACUAUUAUUGGCUCGGUUUUUGACCAUGGAGUUAGAACUCAGCACUGCUUCAAGUAAGCAACUGCUGGACUUCUUGUCCAGACCAAAACCUUGAAAACUGCAUA
This 287-nucleotide unclassified non-coding RNA is filed under the name Spirulina sp. C22. RNAcentral's name for it is "partial contains 16S ribosomal RNA and 16S-23S ribosomal RNA intergenic spacer". The stretch from base 1 to 87 matches the Rfam family "Bacterial small subunit ribosomal RNA", at positions 1447 to 1533 of the family's 1533-position model. The record is from RNAcentral. Lineage: Bacteria; Bacillati; Cyanobacteriota; Cyanophyceae; Spirulinales; Spirulinaceae.